Long non-coding RNA from Bos taurus (domestic cattle), 514 nucleotides. The record is from Ensembl. Lineage: Eukaryota; Metazoa; Chordata; Mammalia; Artiodactyla; Bovidae.
GACGUGCUCCAGCUUACAUCAGGGGUAAAUUGAUUGAGUUGGCCAAACAAGAGGUGCCUGCCAGCGUGUGAACUGGUCCAGAGUAGACAUGAAUGAGAGGUGUGCCUGAGCUGAGACACAACAACACAGGCUUAAACAGAAGGACUCGCUGUCCAUUUGACGACUUUCUAGAUAUCUUGUUCCUCCUGUGGUUACACCUCUGAUAAGUCCUCCUAGAUGAGAGACCUGAUGUAGCAACAUGGGUGACCUUUCUGUCCUUCGAGAAGGAAUGACUAAAACAAGAGAUCCAAGAAUGUACUGCUACAAGCACAGGUCUGCUGGACUUGACUCCUGCCAGUCACAAGAGCCAGCUGAUAAACUUCUGGAACCUUUGUGAGCUGGUUGGGAGGAGACAACAGAGACAACAGAGGAUGAGAUGGUUGGAUGGCAUCACCGACUCAAUGGACAUGAGUUUGAGUAAACUCCAGGAGUUGGUGAUGGACAGGGAGGCCUGGCAUGCUGCAGACCAUGGGGU